RNAcentral lists this ribosomal RNA (206 nucleotides) under uncultured bacterium. RNAcentral describes it as "partial 16S ribosomal RNA". It matches the Rfam family "Bacterial small subunit ribosomal RNA", at positions 568 to 774 of the family's 1533-position model. The record is from RNAcentral.
CGCGUAGGCGGUCUUUUAAGUCAGGUGUGAAAGCCCGGGGCUCAACCCCGGAAGUGCACUUGAAACUAAGAGACUUGAGUAUGGAGAGGGAAGUGGAAUUCCUGGUGUAGCGGUGAAAUGCGUAGAUAUCAGGAGGAACAUCGGUGGCGAAGGCGACUUCCUGGACCAAUACUGACGCUGAGGCGCGAAGGCGUGGGGAGCAAACA